RNAcentral lists this ribosomal RNA (327 nucleotides) under uncultured eukaryote. RNAcentral describes it as "partial 18S ribosomal RNA". It matches the Rfam family "Eukaryotic small subunit ribosomal RNA", at positions 1470 to 1796 of the family's 1831-position model. The record is from RNAcentral.
CCCUUAGAUGUUCUGGGCCGCACGCGCGCUACACUGACGAAUGCAACGAGCUUAUAACCUUGGCCGAAAGGUCUGGGUAAUCUCCAAAUUUCGUCGUGAUGGGGAUAGAUUAUUGCAAUUAUUAAUCUUCAACGAGGAAUGCCUAGUAAGCGCAAGUCAUCAGCUUGCGUUGAUUACGUCCCUGCCCUUUGUACACACCGCCCGUCGCUCCUACCGAUUGAAUGGUCCGGUGAAGCGUUCGGACCGUGGCCUUUGGACGGUUCGCCGUCUGUUGGCUGCGGGAAGUUCGUUAAACCUNANCAUUUANAGGAAGGAGANGUCGUNACA